GACGAACGCUGGCGGCGUGCUUAACACAUGCAAGUCGUACGGUAAGGCCCUUUCGGGGGUACACGAGUGGCGAACGGGUGAGUAACACGUGAGUAACCUGCCCACAACUUUGGGAUAACGCUAGGAAACUGGUGCUAAUACUGGAUAUGAGCUCCUGCUGCAUGGUGGGGGUUGGAAAGCUCCGGCGGUUGUGGAUGGACUCGCGGCCUAUCAGCUUGUUGGUGGGGUAGUGGCCUACCAAGGCGGCGACGGGUAGCCGGCCUGAGAGGGUGACCGGCCACAUUGGGACUGAGAUACGGCCCAGACUCCUACGGGAGGCAGCAGUGGGGAAUAUUGCACAAUGGGCGCAAGCCUGAUGCAGCAACGCCGCGUGCGGGAUAACGGCCUUCGGGUUGUAAACCGCUUUCAGCAGGGACGAAGCUUUUUGUGACGGUACCUGCAGAAGAAGCACCGGCUAACUACGUG
This 465-nucleotide ribosomal RNA is filed under the name uncultured bacterium. RNAcentral describes it as "partial 16S ribosomal RNA". It matches the Rfam family "Bacterial small subunit ribosomal RNA", at positions 28 to 507 of the family's 1533-position model. The record is from RNAcentral.